UGAAAACUCAAUUUCUUUCUAGAAAUGCAUUUAAUAUAGUCUUAAGAGUCUUAGUGCCUCUCAGAGGUCACCUUGCCUGGGACUUCCUGUGAUGCAUCUUCCCUCUCAAUGCGGCUGCCUUUGUCUUCUUCCAUCCUCUUUGCUGGGAGGGUUCCUCAUGAGAAGCUGGCGGUACAAAACACAAAGCAGGAUUAUCCCUUUGGGAAAGGUCCUUUUCUGUCCUUAACCCCAGCUUGGACCAUCUACCUGGAGAAUAAGAAAAUCUUCUGGGGAGUAAGUAGAAAAGCAAAGGGAACCGGAACCUAGAGAUUGAAUGAAAUUGUUGCAAAGAAACCAGGGAGACUGAAUGCAUAAAUCUCUCUUGCUAGCUCCUCUCCAGGUUUUCUUUCCUUGCAGGUAGGCAUUGAAGACGAGUGGCUGGAGCAAAACACAAGAGCGAUUUUUGAGCAUUUGGCUCAGCAUCUAAAGCCCUCGCCUACAUUAAGAUAUCAUAUCUCUGAUCCUGAGCUCAGCUGGGAAUUCACUAACCUCUAACGUUUUGUUUUGUUAGCAGGGUCUUGUUUGCUUUCCCCCUAUGCUGUAAACUAAACAGGUUGUCAGCAAAUCAGUCUUUAUUAAUGAAUUAGUGACCCCCCCUCCCCAUAAUAUCUUUGCUGAUGAUCCAAAAUUUGUUAAUCACCAGUGAAGAGAUUUAUGAGCUCUCUUAUUUUCUGUUGUUUGUGCAGGUGGAGAUUUAAAUGGCCAUAUCCACCACCAAGAUUUAUUGCAAGAGUGAUGGAUGUUAUAAACCAGGGAAAGGACUCUUCCCACAGCAGGGAUGACAGAAAUAUCAAGUUGAAGUUGCCUUUGUCUUCAUGUACAAAUGACCCAGUACUACAACACAGAAAGAUAUAGUAAAAGAAGACAGAUCAGCCUGUUUCCUGAUAAGAAGAGUAACCAAGAAGACCAUCUGCAAGAACUAGACAAAUGCUGCUGCAAAGAGACCAAUCAACAACUGCACAGACGAGAUAGAAAUCUAAAACACAGAGGUGCAAGGUACACGUCUGAUGUCUUCACCAGGUACUGUGGCCCUCCUCUGUCUCAUGUCAUUUCCUGCCCUCUCCUCUGGCCUUUCCAAAUAUCCAGAUAUUUAUUGGAAUUUUUAUUAAGCCAAAUGCACAGCCUUAAUCUUUACUCAAGAAGGGAAGGUAGCUAUGGUUCAUUUGGCCUGGUUUGCUGCUUUAUUCAAACCAGUAUGAGGACUCUGAAAAACAUCAGGAAGGAUUAUUACAGCGAGAGAGUGAAAUAAAGUUCAGGUGCAAAGUAGAAAAGAGGGGAAAAGAGUAUUUGAAUUUAGAAGAUGAUAAAACUAGGUUUUUGCAUUUCUUUGAAAUACAUGAUACAUAUUAUUUUAUGGAAUACAUUGGAAGUUGUUAUCUAUUGUACUGCUUAUAGAAGGAUGUCCCAUAUUUUGGGUCUUUUAUUACAGUAGAGAACUUAAAACCAAUUUCUGAUAUUUCUCCAAUCUACUACAUCAGAUCAUUUCCUUACUCCCACCUUGGCCCAAGGCUCACAUUCAAGUUUUUUUAUUUGCAUGACUCUCACAUUCCUGACCCCAGCUGGGAAGACAAUCUUCCCUCGUCCUGAGGGAUGCUCAGUUUUUUUGGCUUCCACUAAACUGCACAGCCAGAUCCAGAUAGGCAAAACAUCUUGACUCCUUUGCUUGGAACCUGCUUGAUCAAUACUGAUUACACCUGACCUGACCUCAUGGUUUGGUCUUGGAGUUGGUAGCUGAACCUCAUUUGAUUCAUUCUCUGUUAUUUAACAAUCUUUUAUCCACUUUCAGUAUUGGCCCAGGGUAAGACUGAUUUAGUCAUUUACUUCCUGGUCUAAUACACACCAGCUGCUAAGGAAUAUAAAAUUAAUGAGAUGGAUGUGUUCUUGCUCUUUGGAACUUAAGGUCUAUUUGAGAGUACAGAUCAGUAAAUGAGCAAUUGCACAUCUCUAAGUGCUAGGAAAGAAGAACAAUGUGUUAUGUAGUCACCAAGGGAGGAUGUGAUAACUGGCUGUGAACAUCAGGGAAGGCUUCCUGGAAAAGGUGGCAUGUAAGUUGGGACCUAUAGGAUGAGCUAGAGUCAGCCAAGUGAAACUUGGAGAAAGGAGUGCUUGGAAUGGAGAAAAGAGUGUUUCAGGAUAAGUACAAGUCUGGGGAAUAGAGGACAUGCUGUAUCUGAGCAAAGGAAAGGAAUUUAAUAUUAGUGGAUCAUAGUGUGUGUGUGUUUAUGAGGUUUUGGUGGGUCUGGGAGGUGUGUGGGAAACAGCAUAAGUAAAGGCUGGAGAAGGCUUUGUGAACCACAGGGCUCAGUUUGAACUUUACCUUGAAGGUAUUGGAAAGCCCCUGGAAGAGUGACAUAAUUGGAUUUGUGUUUCUAAAAUGAUCACACUGCAGGGCAGUUAGGAGCUUGCUGCAUCAGCCCAAGCAUGAGGACUCAGAGGCCUGUCUUAGCUGGGUAGCACUGAGGCUGCAGAGAGAUGAGUGGGCAUCAGAGAGGUGUAGGAGGUGGAACUGGUGGAUUCAGCAGUGGGUGAGAUGUAGGGAAUGAAGGAGUAGAAGGAGAAAUGCAUGAAACCUCCGUGUCUGGUUGAGCAACUAGAUGAAUCAUGAUGUCUUUUUCUGAGCUGGCAAAGGAAAAGCAUUGGGUUCUAGUUCCCUGUGAUCAGCCACAAUUUCUUAAUAAUUCUUUCCUUUUUUCCUGUUGUCAACUGGUCUUGCCUUCCCCCCAUUUUUCUGUUUUUUUUUUUUUUGCAGGCCGUGGCCAAACUUCCCUGAAAUGGUUCUUGGCUUUGCUCCAUUUUUGAGGUGAUUAACUUUUCUCAUAUGGACAACUUUGCCUCAUAAAAUUCAUGCACUUGUAGCUACUUUCUUCUCUGUUGGAAAUGAGCUCUACCUCUUAUUUUUCAGGCAAAGUUUUGUCAAUCUAUAUAGGCCUGGAUAAGCUAUGAUCGCCUCCGUGAAGCCUUUCCCACUCUCCUAGGGGUGGACUUCGUGGUUCCACCCUGUUCUUCCACAUCCCUUUGUCUAAAUCUCAGUAACAGGACUUACUACCUAUUGUAUUGUCUGCCUGUUUCCUCCUCUCCUUCCUGCCAUCCCAUCAUUUCAUACGAGAUCAUUAUUAGCUCCUUGAAGGCAGGAAUCCCACCUGUUUUAUUUCUAUUUCUAUUGUCAUAGGGGGAUGAACUUGCACAUAUUAGGUAUUCAGUAGGAGUUUCGUGAGAAACUAUGAAUGAACUGUUCAUAUGCUUCCUUUACAAAUUGCUUCCAAUGUUCAAAUCCCUCAAAAUUUUUUCUCUGUUAUAACUAUUCUUUAGCCAUAGUGCACA
Molecule: long non-coding RNA, 3360 nt
Organism: Microcebus murinus (gray mouse lemur)
Lineage: Eukaryota; Metazoa; Chordata; Mammalia; Primates; Cheirogaleidae
Source: Ensembl